RNAcentral lists this ribosomal RNA (535 nucleotides) under uncultured cyanobacterium. Its description in RNAcentral is "bacterial SSU rRNA". It matches the Rfam family "Bacterial small subunit ribosomal RNA", at positions 224 to 769 of the family's 1533-position model. Lineage: Bacteria; Bacillati; Cyanobacteriota. The record is from RNAcentral.
GAGAAGCUCGCGGCUGAUUAGCUAGUUGGUAGGGUAAAGGCCUACCAAGGCGACGAUCAGUAGCUGGUCUGAGAGGACGAUCAGCCACACUGGAACUGAGACACGGUCCAGACUCCUACGGGAGGCAGCAGUGAGGAAUUUUCUGCAAUGGGCGCAGGCCUGACAGAGCAAUACCGCGUGAGGGAUGAAGACUUACUGAGUUGUAAACCUCGGUGCCUUAAGGAAGAAGAUCUGACGGUACUUAAGGUGGAAAGCAUCGGCUAACUCCGUGCCAGCAGCCGCGGUAAGACGGGGGAUGCAAGUGUUAUCCGGAUUUACUGGGCGUAAAGCGUCUGCAGGUGGUUUCUUAAGUCUGCUGUUAAAUCUUGAGGCUCAACCUCAAAUCUGCAGUAGAAACUAGGGAGACUUGAGUAUAGUAGGGGUAGAGGGAAUUUCCAGUGGAGCGGUGAAAUGCCGUAGAUAUUGGAAAGAACACCGAUGGCGAAGGCACUCUACUGGGCUAUUACUGACACUCAGAGACGAAAGCUAGGGGAGC